GAUUAAGUUAUUAAGGGCGCACGGUGGAUGCCUUGGCACUAGAAGCCGAUGAAGGACGUUACUAACGACGAUAUGCUUUGGGGAGCUGUAAGUAAGCUUUGAUCCAGAGAUUUCCGAAUGGGGAAACCCAGCAUGAGUUAUGUCAUGUUAUCGAUAUGUGAAUACAUAGCAUAUCAGAAGGCACACCCGGAGAACUGAAACAUCUUAGUACCCGGAGGAAGAGAAAGAAAAUUCGAUUCCCUUAGUAGCGGCGAGCGAAACGGGAAGAGCCCAAACCAACAAGCUUGCUUGUUGGGGUUGUAGGACACUCUAUACGGAGUUACAAAGGACGACAUUAGACGAAUCAUCUGGAAAGAUGAAUCAAAGAAGGUAAUAAUCCUGUAGUCGAAAAUGUUGUCUCUCUUGAGUGGAUCCUGAGUACGACGGAGCACGUGAAAUUCCGUCGGAAUCUGGGAGGACCAUCUCCUAAGGCUAAAUACUCUCUAGUGACCGAUAGUGAACCAGUACCGUGAGGGAAAGGUGAAAAGCACCCCGGAAGGGGAGUGAAAUAGAACCUGAAACCGUGUGCUUACAAGUAGUCAGAGCCCGUUAAUGGGUGAUGGCGUGCCUUUUGUAGAAUGAACCGGCGAGUUACGAUUUGAUGCAAGGUUAAGCAGUAAAUGUGGAGCCGUAGCGAAAGCGAGUCUGAAUAGGGCGUUUAGUAUUUGGUCGUAGACCCGAAACCAGGUGAUCUA
This 734-nucleotide ribosomal RNA is filed under the name Staphylococcus aureus. Its description in RNAcentral is "partial 23S ribosomal RNA". It matches the Rfam family "Bacterial large subunit ribosomal RNA", at positions 1 to 732 of the family's 2925-position model. Lineage: Bacteria; Bacillati; Bacillota; Bacilli; Caryophanales; Staphylococcaceae. The record is from RNAcentral.